UGAGGAAUAUUGGUCAAUGGGCGCAAGCCUGAACCAGCCAUCCCGCGUGAAGGAAGAAGGCCCUACGGGUUGUAAACUUCUUUUCUGUUUGAAGAAUAAGCUCGUCGAGACGAGUGAUGCCGGUAGGACAGGAAUAAGCAUCGGCUAACUCCGUGCCAGCAGCCGCGGUACUACGGAGGAUGCAAGCGUUAUCCGGAGUUAUUGGGUUUAAAGGGUGCGCAGGUGGUUUAAUAAGUCAGUGGUGAAAGUCUGGCGCUUAACGUUAGGAUUGCCAUUGAUACUGUUAGACUUGAAUAUGGAUGAGGUAGGCGGAAUGUGUAGUGGAGCGGUGAAUGCUUAGAUAUUACAAAGAACACCGAUUGCGAAGGCAGCUUACUAAUCCAUUAUUGACGCUGAGGCACGAAAGCGUGGGGAUCAAACAG
RNAcentral lists this ribosomal RNA (422 nucleotides) under uncultured bacterium. RNAcentral describes it as "bacterial SSU rRNA". It matches the Rfam family "Bacterial small subunit ribosomal RNA", at positions 355 to 775 of the family's 1533-position model. The record is from RNAcentral.